AUUGAACGCUGGCGGCAUGCUUUACACAUGCAAGUCGAACGGCAGCGCGGGCUUCGGCCUGGCGGCGAGUGGCGAACGGGUGAGUAAUACAUCGGAACGUGCCCAGUAGUGGGGGAUAGCUCGGCGAAAGCCGGAUUAAUACCGCAUACGACCUGAGGGUGAAAGCGGGGGAUCUUCGGACCUCGCGCUAUUGGAGCGGUCGAUGGCAGAUUAGCUAGUUGGUGGGGUAAAGGCCUACCAAGGCGACGAUCUGUAGCUGGUCUGAGAGGACGACCAGCCACACUGGGACUGAGACACGGCCCAGACUCCUACGGGAGGCAGCAGUGGGGAAUUUUGGACAAUGGGCGAAAGCCUGAUCCAGCAAUGCCGCGUGGGUGAUGAAGGCCUUCGGGUUGUAAAGCACUUUUGGCGGGAACGAAAAGGACUGUGCCAAUACCGCGGUUCGAUGACGGUACCCGCAGAAUAAGCACCGGCUAACUACGUG
This 484-nucleotide ribosomal RNA is filed under the name uncultured bacterium. RNAcentral describes it as "partial 16S ribosomal RNA". It matches the Rfam family "Bacterial small subunit ribosomal RNA", at positions 29 to 507 of the family's 1533-position model. The record is from RNAcentral.